GUGGGGAAUAUUGGACAAUGGGCGCAAGCCUGAUCCAGCCAUACCGCGUGGGUGAAGAAGGCCUUCGGGUUGUAAAGCCCUUUUGUUGGGAAAGAAAUCCUGUCGGUUAAUACCUGGCGGGGAUGACGGUACCCAAAGAAUAAGCACCGGCUAACUUCGUGCCAGCAGCCGCGGUAAUACGAAGGGUGCAAGCGUUACUCGGAAUUACUGGGCGUACAGAGUGCGUAGGUGGUGGUUUAAGUCCGUUGUGAAAGCCCUGGGCUCAACCUGGGAAUUUCAGUGGAUACUGGAUCACUAGAGUGUGGUAGAGGGAUGCGGAAUUUCUGGUGUAGCAGUGAAAUGCGUAGAGAUCAGAAGGAACAGCCGUUGCGAAGGCGGCAUCCUGGGCCAACACUGACACUGAGGCACGAAAGCGUGGGGAGCAAACAGGAUUAGAUACCUUGUAGUCC
Molecule: ribosomal RNA, 449 nt
Filed under: uncultured bacterium
Lineage: Bacteria
Description: partial 16S ribosomal RNA
Rfam family: Bacterial small subunit ribosomal RNA
Source: RNAcentral